RNAcentral lists this long non-coding RNA (811 nucleotides) under Onthophagus taurus. Its description in RNAcentral is "uncharacterized LOC111418282, transcript variant X2". The record is from RNAcentral. Lineage: Eukaryota; Metazoa; Arthropoda; Insecta; Coleoptera; Scarabaeidae.
UUAUCUGAGGUUGAGUUUUAAUCGGGCAUCGUUUAUCGAGUUUCUUUAAAAGGUUCAUCUUAAAUUUUUGAUUUCUCAUGGGCGUGAUUCCUUCGGGAACGCUUCUUAAGGAUAUUCAAUUGGAAGAAUUCGGAUCAGAAACUAAAUUAUUCGACUUUAUAAGGUCAUUGUUGAGUUUAUAACAUUAUUUUUAAACGAUUCUUUUGUAUUUUUACGUUCAAUAAACAAUUUUACUUCUAUUUUUUGGCGAAAAAGCAUCUUUAAGAAUACACACUAACCUUCUUUUAUUUCCUUUUUUUUCAUAGCUACCCUAGAUAUCUUAGAAAUAAAACCGGUUAAUGUCAACAAAAAUCCGCUUUUUUCAUUGGUUGAUCCAAGUGGUGUGAUUUAUACGAUGAUAUUAAAUACAAAGGAGUUUUAUAUUCCCUGGAGUUUUAGAGAUUACAUUAAUCAAACGUCAAAUGAAAAUAGAGGUUAACAAUGCUUUAAUUGAGUUUUUAACCAAAUAAAGGAAGUUAGCGACUUGGAAUUAAUUAAUUUCCCCAUUUUCGAAGUUAAUUUAGUUAUGAAAGUAUUUCGGUUUCAAAGAACUAGUUUUAAAUAUUUCGUGGAGAUUUAAAGAUGACAUUAACCAAACGUCAAAUGAAAAUAGAGGUUAACGCUUAAAUUGAGUUUUUAACCAAAUAAAGAAAAUCAGCGGCUUGGAAAUGUUUUAAAUUUUAUCAUCAUAAUCAAAACCCCAACCUGUAUUUGGAUGGUGAAAAAGGACUUGGAGGUUGUACACCCGGAACAUCAGAAUCCAAAAAUACAA